Molecule: long non-coding RNA, 279 nt
Filed under: Bos taurus (domestic cattle)
Lineage: Eukaryota; Metazoa; Chordata; Mammalia; Artiodactyla; Bovidae
Description: long non-coding RNA NONBTAT016674
Source: RNAcentral
AUCGUAGUUUACUCUGUAUAUAUGAGAAGCGAUUUAUGUAAGGCUCCUGGGAUAAUGCCCUUGCUUUAAAACCAUUAAUGUCACUUGCUACCUACAUUGAUGGUCUCUGAAAUCUUUAACUACCUACUCAAUCAGUUUUGUUUUUUUUUAAAUUAAGGAUUUUAUAACAGUAAAGUUCUAAGUAUUCCUAAUGGCCUAUCGGGGCUGGCUAUAUAACCUCCCAAGCUUUAGAAGGAACUAAAGAUCUAUGAUGUUAGAAUUAUGUGUUCUUAGGCACAA